UACGUAGGGAGCAAGCGUUGUCCGGAAUCAUUGGGCGUAAAGCGCGCGUAGGUGGCCCCAUAAGUCCGCUGUGAAAGUCAAAGGCUCAACCUUUGAAAGCCGGUGGAUACUGUGGGACUAGAGUACGGAAGAGGCGAGUGGAAUUCCUGGUAUAGCGGUGGAAUGCGCAGAUAUCAGGAGGAACACCAAUAGCGAAGGCAGCUCGCUGGGACGUUACUGACACUGAGGCGCGAAAGCGUGGGGAGCGAACAGG
This 253-nucleotide ribosomal RNA is filed under the name uncultured bacterium. Its description in RNAcentral is "partial 16S ribosomal RNA". It matches the Rfam family "Bacterial small subunit ribosomal RNA", at positions 524 to 776 of the family's 1533-position model. The record is from RNAcentral.